RNAcentral lists this ribosomal RNA (2927 nucleotides) under Escherichia coli. RNAcentral's name for it is "23S ribosomal RNA". It matches the Rfam family "Bacterial large subunit ribosomal RNA". The record is from RNAcentral. Lineage: Bacteria; Pseudomonadati; Pseudomonadota; Gammaproteobacteria; Enterobacterales; Enterobacteriaceae.
GGGUUGUGAGGUUAAGCGACUAAGCGUACACGGUGGAUGCCCUGGCAGUCAGAGGCGAUGAAGGACGUGCUAAUCUGCGAUAAGCGUCGGUAAGGUGAUAUGAACCGUUAUAACCGGCGAUUUCCGAAUGGGGAAACCCAGUGUGAUUCGUCACACUAUCAUUAACUGAAUCCAUAGGUUAAUGAGGCGAACCGGGGGAACUGAAACAUCUAAGUACCCCGAGGAAAAGAAAUCAACCGAGAUUCCCCCAGUAGCGGCGAGCGAACGGGGAGCAGCCCAGAGCCUGAAUCAGUGUGUGUGUUAGUGGAAGCGUCUGGAAAGGCGUGCGAUACAGGGUGACAGCCCCGUACACAAAAAUGCACAUACUGUGAGCUCGAUGAGUAGGGCGGGACACGUGGUAUCCUGUCUGAAUAUGGGGGGACCAUCCUCCAAGGCUAAAUACUCCUGACUGACCGAUAGUGAACCAGUACCGUGAGGGAAAGGCGAAAAGAACCCCGGCGAGGGGAGUGAAAAAGAACCUGAAACCGUGUACGUACAAGCAGUGGGAGCACAGAGCAAUCUGUGUGACUGCGUACCUUUUGUAUAAUGGGUCAGCGACUUAUAUUCUGUAGCAAGGUUAACCGAAUAGGGGAGCCGAAGGGAAACCGAGUCUUAACUGGGCGUUAAGUUGCAGGGUAUAGACCCGAAACCCGGUGAUCUAGCCAUGGGCAGGUUGAAGGUUGGGUAACACUAACUGGAGGACCGAACCGACUAAUGUUGAAAAAUUAGCGGAUGACUUGUGGCUGGGGGUGAAAGGCCAAUCAAACCGGGAGAUAGCUGGUUCUCCCCGAAAGCUAUUUAGGUAGCGCCUCGUGAAUUCAUCUCCGGGGGUAGAGCACUGUUUCGGCAAGGGGGUCAUCCCGACUUACCAACCCGAUGCAAACUGCGAAUACCGGAGAAUGUUAUCACGGGAGACACACGGCGGGUGCUAACGUCCGUCGUGAAGAGGGAAACAACCCAGACCGCCAGCUAAGGUCCCAAAGUCAUGGUUAAGUGGGAAACGAUGUGGGAAGGCCCAGACAGCCAGGAUGUUGGCUUAGAAGCAGCCAUCAUUUAAAGAAAGCGUAAUAGCUCACUGGUCGAGUCGGCCUGCGCGGAAGAUGUAACGGGGCUAAACCAUGCACCGAAGCUGCGGCAGCGACGCUUAUGCGUUGUUGGGUAGGGGAGCGUUCUGUAAGCCUGCGAAGGUGUGCUGUGAGGCAUGCUGGAGGUAUCAGAAGUGCGAAUGCUGACAUAAGUAACGAUAAAGCGGGUGAAAAGCCCGCUCGCCGGAAGACCAAGGGUUCCUGUCCAACGUUAAUCGGGGCAGGGUGAGUCGACCCCUAAGGCGAGGCCGAAAGGCGUAGUCGAUGGGAAACAGGUUAAUAUUCCUGUACUUGGUGUUACUGCGAAGGGGGGACGGAGAAGGCUAUGUUGGCCGGGCGACGGUUGUCCCGGUUUAAGCGUGUAGGCUGGUUUUCCAGGCAAAUCCGGAAAAUCAAGGCUGAGGCGUGAUGACGAGGCACUACGGUGCUGAAGCAACAAAUGCCCUGCUUCCAGGAAAAGCCUCUAAGCAUCAGGUAACAUCAAAUCGUACCCCAAACCGACACAGGUGGUCAGGUAGAGAAUACCAAGGCGCUUGAGAGAACUCGGGUGAAGGAACUAGGCAAAAUGGUGCCGUAACUUCGGGAGAAGGCACGCUGAUAUGUAGGUGAAGUCCCUCGCGGAUGGAGCUGAAAUCAGUCGAAGAUACCAGCUGGCUGCAACUGUUUAUUAAAAACACAGCACUGUGCAAACACGAAAGUGGACGUAUACGGUGUGACGCCUGCCCGGUGCCGGAAGGUUAAUUGAUGGGGUCAGCGCAAGCGAAGCUCUUGAUCGAAGCCCCGGUAAACGGCGGCCGUAACUAUAACGGUCCUAAGGUAGCGAAAUUCCUUGUCGGGUAAGUUCCGACCUGCACGAAUGGCGUAAUGAUGGCCAGGCUGUCUCCACCCGAGACUCAGUGAAAUUGAACUCGCUGUGAAGAUGCAGUGUACCCGCGGCAAGACGGAAAGACCCCGUGAACCUUUACUAUAGCUUGACACUGAACAUUGAGCCUUGAUGUGUAGGAUAGGUGGGAGGCUUUGAAGUGUGGACGCCAGUCUGCAUGGAGCCGACCUUGAAAUACCACCCUUUAAUGUUUGAUGUUCUAACGUUGACCCGUGAUCCGGGUUGCGGACAGUGUCUGGUGGGUAGUUUGACUGGGGCGGUCUCCUCCUAAAGAGUAACGGAGGAGCACGAAGGUUGGCUAAUCCUGGUCGGACAUCAGGAGGUUAGUGCAAUGGCAUAAGCCAGCUUGACUGCGAGCGUGACGGCGCGAGCAGGUGCGAAAGCAGGUCAUAGUGAUCCGGUGGUUCUGAAUGGAAGGGCCAUCGCUCAACGGAUAAAAGGUACUCCGGGGAUAACAGGCUGAUACCGCCCAAGAGUUCAUAUCGACGGCGGUGUUUGGCACCUCGAUGUCGGCUCAUCACAUCCUGGGGCUGAAGUAGGUCCCAAGGGUAUGGCUGUUCGCCAUUUAAAGUGGUACGCGAGCUGGGUUUAGAACGUCGUGAGACAGUUCGGUCCCUAUCUGCCGUGGGCGCUGGAGAACUGAGGGGGGCUGCUCCUAGUACGAGAGGACCGGAGUGGACGCAUCACUGGUGUUCGGGUUGUCAUGCCAAUGGCACUGCCCGGUAGCUAAAUGCGGAAGAGAUAAGUGCUGAAAGCAUCUAAGCACGAAACUUGCCCCGAGAUGAGUUCUCCCUGACUCCUUGAGAGUCCUGAAGGAACGUUGAAGACGACGACGUUGAUAGGCCGGGUGUGUAAGCGCAGCGAUGCGUUGAGCUAACCGGUACUAAUGAACCGUGAGGCUUAACCUUACAACGCCGAAG